This 785-nucleotide ribosomal RNA is filed under the name Necator sp. HH-2015. RNAcentral's name for it is "SSU rRNA". It matches the Rfam family "Eukaryotic small subunit ribosomal RNA", at positions 1017 to 1831 of the family's 1831-position model. Lineage: Eukaryota; Metazoa; Nematoda; Chromadorea; Rhabditida; Ancylostomatidae. The record is from RNAcentral.
GCCCUAGUUCUGACCGUAAACUAUGCCAUCUAGCGAUCCGAUGGGGUAUUGUUGCCUUGUCGAGGAGCUUCCCGGAAACGAAAGUCUUUCGGUUCCUGGGGUAGUAUGGUUGCAAAGCUGAAACUUAAAGAAAUUGACGGAAUGGCACCACCAGGAGUGGAGCCUGCGGCUUAAUUUGACUCAACACGGGAAAACUCACCCGGCCCGGACACCGUAAGGAUUGACAGAUUGAAAGCUCUUUCUCGAUUUGGUGGUUGGUGGUGCAUGGCCGUUCUUAGUUGGUGGAGCGAUUUGUCUGGUUUAUUCCGAUAACGAGCGAGACUCUAGCCUGCUAAAUAGUGGCUGGAUUUUUACGUCCAGUCUACUUCUUAGAGGGAUAAGCGGUGUUUAGCCGCACGAGAUUGAGCGAUAACAGGUCUGUGAUGCCCUUAGAUGUCCGGGGCUGCACGCGCGCUACAAUGGAAGAAUCAGCUGGCCUAUCCAUUGCCGAAAGGCAUUGGUAAACCGUUGAAACUCUUCCGUGACCGGGAUAGGGAAUUGUAAUUAUUUCCCUUGAACGAGGAAUUCCUAGUAAGUGUGAGUCAUCAGCUCACGCUGAUUACGUCCCUGCCAUUUGUACACACCGCCCGUCGCUGUCCGGGACUGAGCUGUCUCGAGAGGACUGCGGACUGCUGUCGCGAGGCCUUCGGGUCGCGUUAUGGCGGGAAACAGUUCAAUCGCAAUGGCUUGAACCGGGUAAAAGUCGUAACAAGGUAUCUGUAGGUGAACCUGCAGAUGGAUCAUCG